GCAAGAAAAACUCCAAUCUCCCACUGAAAGCCAGUCCUUUCAAAGGAGAAUGAGCAGUUUGUGGAAUAGAAACAUUUUCAGUCCAAGGGAGACAGAUACUGUGUAUUUCAACAAAGCCAAAAUAUUUCUGGGUUAUGUAGUCUUAAUAGUUCAUGUUUUAGUAAGUGUAGCUAGUGCCACAGUCUGAAGCCACAUCAGUAAAAACCACUCACUCACCUCCUGCUGUCUAUUACCAGGUCCUUGCUGCAGCCUCCCAACAGUUUAAGCUAUGCUGACUGUAAAACAACGUAGAAAAUUUCCCCAGUGCAGGCAGGCUUGAAGAAGAAACCAGUUUACUGCAAUUCAUGUCUGUGGAAUUGAAGAAAGCUCUCUCUCACCACAUGCUGUAUCAGCUUUCACUCAAAACCCUCCCAAACAGUAAAAACUUCUGACUUGAUUGCAGCUGCUAAAGCAGAAUUAAAUGUAUAACCGGUGGAUGAACUGAGAUCUGUUUGACUCUGAAGAGGGCCUCGAGCAAUGAUUCAAAACUACAUGAACUUUCAACUUCAGUUCACUCAGGGCCAUGGAGUCUUCAGUUGGUUCAUUAUUUUGCAGAGAAUGAGUCUUUCUGCCCUGCAGGGAUCUAUCUAUCUCUGCUGACUCUCUGCAUCUUCUCCACAUGGAAGAAGUAAUUGGAUUGUAUUUUCUGCACAUGACCAAGACAGCAGGGAAACCCAGAGCUGUAAGCCAGAGAACAAGCUGUCUAGAGGGCUGGGCCUGGGUCUGGACCUCACUUGCAUGCCCAAUAAUGUCAUCAGGACUGAGGACAUGAGGAGGAGGAGGCAUCCUGCACCCAGCAGUGAAACCAUGCCAGUACAAAGAUCAAAACCAAAAGAGACUGGACCUCAGACAAAGGAGGAGAAGGGAAGUUGUUGAGGUCUCCACACUCAUUGUCUGAUUACAAUUCCACCAAGGUGGAUUUGAAGUUGUUUCACAGCUCAGCCUCUCCUCCCCAGUGCCUGAGGAGGCAGCUUCCAGCAUGACACAUCCCAUCUUUGACUCACCAGAAGACAUGCUUCAAUUCAGCCAGAAAACAGGAACUUAUAAGGAAAGAGUCUGAAAGCCUGUGGCAAGCCUAUAAGGACUGAUGCACGACAUGAUUGUAAAGUCUAAUUCCAGAAUGAAAAAUCAAUGAAUAGACAGAGAUUCAUAUUCCUAAGAAAACAAAGAUGUAAAUCUACAGCCACUUUGACGAAUGAUGAGCAGAUUUCUCCUGGGGAACAUGCAAAGAAGGCCCACACCUACGGAAAGGCUGUCCCAAGAUUAUGUCACCUACAUGUAUCACGAAGGAAUUUUCUUCUUGGCUGCUCAGAGGAGGAUUUUUAACAUUUGCCUCCCAUUUACUCCACAACAUUUCAUUGCUGAGUAACUUGUACUUCUUCACACCAUUUUAAUUUGAUGGCAUGUACGAGUAAUGCAGAGAUCUUUCGUUCCUAAGGGAAAUUAAGAAAAUAAUUCCCUCUUUCGCUCAGUAACUCAACUGAAUUCAAUUUGGGUUCAUUCUUUUAGGAAAGGUGCUUACCUAGUUCUGUCAAAUUAAAAUAUGGAAGGGAAAAUGUCAAUAAUAAUGACCAUCUUGUCAUCACAAUUCCUAGUUCUUUCAUGCCAUGCUUCCUCCACAGAGAAUUUUAUUUUGCAGAGGGAAAAACUUACAUAAAGUCUUAGAAGGCUUAAGUCACAUCUGUAAUUUCUGCAUAUUGCUAAAUAUUAACAUACACUAUGUGCAUGGAACAAAACUUCAGCAAACCAGCUUUCACACUGAUUUGGUGUUUUGAGCUCACUUGUAAGAUUUAAAUUUUAAUGUUUUUUCUUACAUUUACUUUGAUGUAUAUUUAUCAGAUGAAUUGUAUGCACAGAAAAAGGUGUAAUAAGAGGGCAGAAGUAUCAGCUGCAUUAUGUGUCCCUAUGAGACAGAGAAAAAACAUUAUUUGGAAAUUUCUGUGGCACAGCUGGCAGCUGCUGAUCUCAUUCCUAUUCCCUACAUGGGGCUGUUAACACAAGGACUCAUGAGGGAAUGGCGAGGACUGGAGAGGCCAUGACCACAGUGAAUUUUGAUUCUCCUUUUCCUUGGUGUGGCUGCUGUGCAGAAAACAUGGCUGAGCAGUGCAGCCUGGGAGAAGGCUGAGUGAAUUAAUGGAAGAGAGAAGCCUCUCAGAGCUACUGAAUCCAGGGAGGAUCAGCCUGGAUGGGGAUGUGUCUGGGCUGCAAGUGCUUUGCAGGGGGAGGAGAGGCUGCUGGAUUCUCUGCUCUCACGCUCCUCGUUCCAGCAUCAGCCUUUGGGCGUUAGCAUUAGCUGUCCUUAUUUCAUUAUGCUUUUAUUUGCUGCUGGCAGCAGAGCAGGGCUGGAAGCUGCCCAGGGUGCUGGCUGCAGCCACUCAGAGACCUCUCUUUCCCCAGCGCUGGCUGCAGCAUAGAAUGGACAGGCGCUGAGUAAGUGUGUUUCAUAUCCAGAGAAAAUUUUCCAGAGUGCCUAAAUGGCUUGAAACUGCAGGUUCUGAUGGCCAAGAUCAAGCAACUUGCUUGGGAAAUUGCUUCCAAUUAGCCUUCUCUCUUUUUGUCUCUCUCCCUGUGUUUGUGCAUUUUCAAUUAUGCAGAAAUGUAUAAUUUGGCUCCACUUUCCUUUAUUUAAGCAGGCAAAGAACAGUGAGCUUCAAAACUGCAGAAUACCUUGAAAUCUUUUAACUUCAACCAUUCUGCCUCUGAUAGAAAAACAUGUAUUUCACUUUUAAUUCUCAGUCACCUUAACUGGUACUGGUAACUUUGUACCCACAAGCACAGAACACUAGAUGGAUAGACUGCAGCAAAACGAGUUACGUGUUGUAUUUA
This is a long non-coding RNA of Oenanthe melanoleuca, 2865 nucleotides long. RefSeq lists it as uncharacterized. NCBI's taxonomy places the organism in Eukaryota, Metazoa, Chordata, Aves, Passeriformes, Muscicapidae. The transcript has 5 exons. The record is from RefSeq and is a predicted model, not a curated record.